RNAcentral lists this ribosomal RNA (486 nucleotides) under uncultured bacterium. RNAcentral's name for it is "partial 16S ribosomal RNA". It matches the Rfam family "Bacterial small subunit ribosomal RNA", at positions 30 to 507 of the family's 1533-position model. The record is from RNAcentral.
AUUGAACGCUGGCGGCAUGCCUUACACAUGCAAGUCGAACGGCAGCACGGGUGCUUGCACCUGGUGGCGAGUGGCGAACGGGUGAGUAAUACAUCGGAACAUGUCCUGUAGUGGGGGAUAGCCCGGCGAAAGCCGGAUUAAUACCGCAUACGAUCUACGGAUGAAAGCGGGGGACCUUCGGGCCUCGCGCUAUAGGGUUGGCCGAUGGCUGAUUAGCUAGUUGGUGGGGUAAAGGCCUACCAAGGCGACGGUCAGUAGAUGGUCUGAGAGGACGACCAGCCACACUGGGACUGAGACACGGCCCAGACUCCUACGGGAGGCAGCAGUGGGGAAUUUUGGACAAUGGGCGAAAGCCUGAUCCAGCAAUGCCGCGUGUGUGAAGAAGGCCUUCGGGUUGUAAAGCACUUUUGUCCGGAAAGAAAUCCUUGGCUCUAAUACAGUCGGGGGAUGACGGUACCGGAAGAAUAAGCACCGGCUAACUACGUG